UUGUCUUUCCUUCUACGAAAAACCUUUCUCAGUCAGAACCUAUAACGCGCUGUGUAUCCGUUUUACGCCUCAACGAAGUAUCCG
This 84-nucleotide small RNA is filed under the name Homo sapiens (human). RNAcentral describes it as "nc035 non-coding RNA". The record is from RNAcentral. Lineage: Eukaryota; Metazoa; Chordata; Mammalia; Primates; Hominidae.